UGACCGCUGGCGGCGUGCCUACUACAUGCAAGUCGAGCGAACAGACGAGGAGCUUGCUCCUCUGACGUUAGCGGCGGACGGGUGAGUAACACGUGGAUAACCUACCUAUAAGACUGGGAUAACUUCGGGAAACCGGAGCUAAUACCGGAUAAUAUAUUGAACCGCAUGGUUCAAUAGUGAAAGACGGUUUUGCUGUCACUUAUAGAUGGAUCCGCGCCGCAUUAGCUAGUUGGUAAGGUAACGGCUUACCAAGGCAACGAUGCGUAGCCGAACUGAGAGGGUGAUCGGCCACACUGGAACUGAGACACGGUCCAGACUCCUACGGGAGGCAGCAGUAGGGAAUCUUCCGCAAUGGGCGAAAGCUUGACGGAGCAACGCCGCGUGAGUGAUGAAGGUCUUCGGAUCGUAAAACUCUGUUAUUAGGGAAGAACAAAUGUGUAAGUAACUAUGCACGUCUUGACGGUACCUAAUCAGAAAGCCACGGCUAACUACGUG
Molecule: ribosomal RNA, 495 nt
Filed under: uncultured bacterium
Lineage: Bacteria
Description: partial 16S ribosomal RNA
Rfam family: Bacterial small subunit ribosomal RNA
Source: RNAcentral